RNAcentral lists this long non-coding RNA (300 nucleotides) under Olea europaea subsp. europaea. Lineage: Eukaryota; Viridiplantae; Streptophyta; Magnoliopsida; Lamiales; Oleaceae. The record is from RNAcentral.
UCAAGACAAAAGACCAACAAAAUUACCUUCAUACCACCACCUAUAUGCAAAAUAAAUAGCAAAUUUAACAAAACCCUAAACUCUAACACUGGAAGGAACCUCAUAAAAAACCCUAAAGCAUAUACCUUGAUAUGAAGACUUGGAAUAACUCACUGUCAAGUUGCAAAGAGAGAAUUGAAACGUCAGCGGCUUCUUGAAUGUGUUAAUAAACGUCGAAGAUUAUGGAAGGAAUAACUCGCCGGUUGACUUUUGGGCUUUCAAAUGUUGGAGAUAAAUGAGUUCCUUUUUUCCCUCUUCUUC